UCGGACCCCCACCACCAUCUUUACCGUUAAGCCACACAAACCACCAUGUCACCGCUCCUCGCCUCUCUAAUCCCCUCUAUCGCCACCGCUCAGCUGCCGCUAAAACCUCCAAACUCUCCCCUAUCUCAAUUCCCCCACCGCUCGUCCCCUGAAAUCAACACAAUCUCACGGCGAAAUGCAGCCGUUUUGCUCUCGUCAAUCAUCACUCCACUUCUCCCUUCUUUCCUCCAACCACGCCUCGCCUCCGCGUUGUCAUUCGGCAUCUCAGGACCAAAGGAAUGGCUGAAAGAGCAAAAGAAGAAGUCCGCCAAGUUUCUCUUAGCUCCGGUCGAUGCCUCUCGCAACAUCCUUCAGUCUGCCUAUCUCUUACUAAUGAAAAGUGAAGCAGAGUUCGGUGAAAAUGACUUGGAAGAAGUUCAAAAGUUGUUUGUUUCGGCUGCUAGAGACUGUGUUCCUCAGGACAGGAAUUCUUUCGUUGAGUUCCAAGCUAACACUGGAGUUGAGGUUUGCACAUUCCGGUUGAUUGUGAAAAAUGCAUCAUCUUUGCUUGAUGACAAAGAUCCAAUCAAGUUAGAAGCUGAAGCCAAGCUCAGUGAUCUCGUAAGAUCAUUUUCUUCUCUUAAUGGCAUUGCAAGGGAAAGUGGGGUUCAACUUACUUCAGACAGCAGACAAAGAGCUGCAGAUGCACUUAAAGAUACAAUAUCUUCACUAAACAACUUUGAGCAGGUUAUCAAGGAUUGUCUUCAAGUUUGAUGACUUCAAUUCUGGCAAGCAGAAACAAAAAUUGAGUAGCGUUGGACAUUUAUGGAUGACCAGAGACUGAUUCUCAAGGGGCCAUUAAGGUGCAAUAAAUUGGGGCAAAAGGAGUGUAAAAGAAAUGCCUAAUAUGUUCUACACUGAGAGAAUAUUUACUACAGCUCGAGAUUGUUUUACAACUCUUGAUAUAGCAAACAUGAUCACAUGCAGAAAAAUGUGAGGUCAUGGACCUUCAGUUGAGUACAGGCAAUUGUAAAUAAUUCCAAAAUUAGGCAUGUUGGUGG
This is a non-coding RNA of Sesamum indicum (sesame), 1040 nucleotides long. The record is from RefSeq and is a predicted model, not a curated record. Lineage: Eukaryota; Viridiplantae; Streptophyta; Magnoliopsida; Lamiales; Pedaliaceae.